Molecule: transfer RNA, 60 nt
Filed under: Candidatus Uhrbacteria bacterium
Lineage: Bacteria; Candidatus Uhriibacteriota
Description: tRNA-Ser
Rfam family: tRNA
About the family: Transfer RNA (tRNA) molecules are approximately 80 nucleotides in length. Their secondary structure includes four short double-helical elements and three loops (D, anti-codon, and T loops). Further hydrogen bonds mediate the characteristic L-shaped molecular structure. tRNAs have two regions of fundamental functional importance: the anti-codon, which is responsible for specific mRNA codon recognition, and the 3' end, to which the tRNAs corresponding amino acid is attached (by aminoacyl-tRNA synthetases). tRNAs cope with the degeneracy of the genetic code in two manners: having more than one tRNA (with a specific anti-codon) for a particular amino acid; and 'wobble' base-pairing, i.e. permitting non-standard base-pairing at the 3rd anti-codon position.
Source: RNAcentral
GGCGGGGUAGCUCAGUUGGUUAGAGCAGUGNNGUGGGUUCGAUCCCCACCCCCGCUACCA